GAAACUUAGGAUGACCUAAACCGAAG
RNAcentral lists this transfer RNA (26 nucleotides) under Emblema pictum (painted firetail). RNAcentral describes it as "partial tRNA-Trp". The record is from RNAcentral. Lineage: Eukaryota; Metazoa; Chordata; Aves; Passeriformes; Estrildidae.